Molecule: ribosomal RNA, 543 nt
Filed under: Triticum aestivum (bread wheat)
Lineage: Eukaryota; Viridiplantae; Streptophyta; Magnoliopsida; Poales; Poaceae
Description: partial small subunit ribosomal RNA
Source: RNAcentral
ACAGAGCCGGAGUCCCUAGUGGCCCGUGUGUUGAAAGCUAAAUAUUUCCCUAAUGGGAGUAUCUUAGAAGCUACCCCAAAAAACGGGUCUUCCUUCACUUGGCAAAGCAUAAUGAAAGGAUUAGAAACAUUCAAAAGAGGAUAUAUUUGGAGAAUUGGUACGAGAGAACAUGUGAAUAUCUGGAACGACCCAUGGAUCCCUACCAGCGCAGACAGGAAAGUGAUCACCCCUCGAAACCAAACACUUCUGACAAGAGUUUGUGACUUGAUGGAUCCGUUGACUGGAACUUGGGAUGAGGAGUUACUAAGAGAUAUUUUUUGGGCAGUGGAUGUACGGAGGAUUAUGCAAAUCCAAAUAUACCCUCAAGCCUUUGAAGAUUUCAUUGCUUGGCAACCUAACCGAACAGGGAUUUUCUCUGUCAAAACGGCCUACCAUCUUCAGUGGAAUCAUACUUUUAGGGCGCAUGCAAACAGGGUAGAGCCCGACUGCAUCCACACCCUUGGAUAUUUGGAAUACUCUAUGGAAACUUCAGGUGCCACGUAA